CCUGUUCUUGGUUACUUGGCUC
Molecule: microRNA, 22 nt
Filed under: Columba livia (rock pigeon)
Lineage: Eukaryota; Metazoa; Chordata; Aves; Columbiformes; Columbidae
Description: cli-miR-26-2-3p
Gene: cli-miR-26-2-3p
Source: miRBase by way of RNAcentral